RNAcentral lists this ribosomal RNA (445 nucleotides) under uncultured bacterium. RNAcentral describes it as "SSU rRNA". It matches the Rfam family "Bacterial small subunit ribosomal RNA", at positions 26 to 518 of the family's 1533-position model. The record is from RNAcentral.
AGAACGAACGCUGGCGGCAGGCCUAAUACAUGCAAGUCGAACGCACUCUUCGGAGUGAGUGGCAGACGGGUGAGUAACGCGUGGGAACCUUCCCAAUGGUACGGAAUAACUCCGGGAAACCGGUGCUAAUACCGUAUAAGCCCCUCGGGGGAAAGAUUUAUCGCCAUUGGAUGGGCCCGCGUCGGAUUAGCUAGUUGGUAAGGUAAUGGCUUACCAAGGCUACGAUCCGUAGCUGGUCUGAGAGGAUGAUCAGCCACACUGGGACUGAGACACGGCCCAGACUCCUACGGGAGGCAGCAGUAGGGAAUCUUGGACAAUGGGCGAAAGCCUGAUCCAGCCAUGCCGCGUGAGUGAAGAAGGCCUUAGGGUUGUAAAGCUCUUUUGGCGGGGACGAUAAUGACGGUACCCGCAGAAUAAGCCCGGCUAACUUCGUGCCAGCAGCCGC